AUGCAAAUGUUCAAUUUGUUGUUUGACAUUUGACAGCUCUAUGGUUUCGUUCAGAAAUUGUAAAUAUUUUUACGUCCGUCAUGCAUGUUGGACAGAUUGCUGGUGAGAGUGUGGGUAAGCCUAUUUAAAAAAAACGACUACUGUCAGUGUAAGAUGACACUGGUGACAGAUGACACACAAACAUGUUACAUGUAUUGUGCAUUGAUUGACGGGUAAAACCAUGGUAAAACCAAAACUUUGUGCUUUACCAGUCUGAAAUUAAGUUUAAUUUUCAGUAAAGGGUCUAAAUGUUUGUGACUAACCUAAGCCCUCCUACGUGUACACGCUCGACGCAGCUAGCCAACUUUAUUGUCACGCGUGCAAUAGAGUACCUAUUAAAGGCCAAGUUCGGCCUGGCCAGCCAGGGUUCACGCUAGACAACGUCAACGAUUUAUUUGGGGUCGCCGUCAUCGAAAACGAUGAGGAGGAGGAGGACUAUACUUACUAACGAUGACACGGCACCGCCGCGUAAAACAAACCUAUGCCGAAAAUCAUAGUUUCAAGUAUUUUGAAUGCUGUAGCCAGAAGACUGCCAGACAAAUGUGGAUUAAUAAGGUUGUGGAGAUAAAAAAAAAUACAUCCACACUACAGCAUCCGAAAUCUCAAAAUCAUUUGCUUCUAUAUCGAAGAGCUCUCUGGAUUUUUUUGAUGACUUUCCGGUCACUUAUCUUGACAUAAAUGCUGAAGGAAUUAAUUAUGUCACUUUAAAAGGAGACGAAGAGCAGGACGGUAUUAUAAAACAAAGUUAAACAUCACGGCCCGAAGACCACCCAAAUGAUGAAAAUGUAUUAACUAGGUUCAGUUCUUUUCAAAUUUGUAUUAAGGGGAGAAAAUCCAAAAUUAAAAUUCAGAUAAAAACUUUAAUGUUUUAAGAAAUUGUAAGUCAUUUCAAGUUUUAGACAUUUUGAAACAAAAAAAUGUUUUGAGAAGAAUGUGUUUGACAGAUGGUAAAGC
This is a long non-coding RNA of Cydia fagiglandana, 993 nucleotides long. RefSeq lists it as uncharacterized. The record is from RefSeq and is a predicted model, not a curated record. The transcript has 3 exons. NCBI's taxonomy places the organism in Eukaryota, Metazoa, Arthropoda, Insecta, Lepidoptera, Tortricidae.